Molecule: ribosomal RNA, 482 nt
Filed under: uncultured bacterium
Lineage: Bacteria
Description: partial 16S ribosomal RNA
Rfam family: Bacterial small subunit ribosomal RNA
Source: RNAcentral
AUUGAACGCUGGCGGCAUGCCUUACACAUGCAAAUCGAACGGUAACGGGCCUUCGGGUGCCGACGAGUGGCGAACGGGUGAGUAAUACAUCGGAACGUGCCCGAUCGUGGGGGAUAACGAGGCGAAAGCUUUGCUAAUACCGCAUACGAUCUACGGAUGAAAGCAGGGGACCGCAAGGCCUUGCGCGGACGGAGCGGCCGAUGGCAGAUUAGGUAGUUGGUGGGAUAAAAGCUUACCAAGCCGACGAUCUGUAGCUGGUCUGAGAGGAUGAUCAGCCACACUGGGACUGAGACACGGCCCAGACUCCUACGGGAGGCAGCAGUGGGGAAUUUUGGACAAUGGGCGCAAGCCCGAUCCAGCCAUGCCGCGUGCAGGAUGAAGGCCUUCGGGUUGUAAACUGAUUUUGUACGGAACGAAAAGCCUUCUUUUAAUACAGGAGGGUCAUGACGGUACCGUAAGAAUAAGCACCGGCUAACUACGUG